Molecule: ribosomal RNA, 864 nt
Filed under: uncultured bacterium
Lineage: Bacteria
Description: bacterial SSU rRNA
Rfam family: Bacterial small subunit ribosomal RNA
Source: RNAcentral
AGAGUUUGAUCAUGGCUCAGGAUGAACGCUGGCGGUAUGCUUAACACAUGCAAGUCGAACGGAAUCUUAGGAUUUAGUGGCGGACGGGUGAGUAACGCGUGAGAAUCUGGCUCUAGGUCGGGGACAACAGUUGGAAACGACUGCUAAUACCGGAUGUGCCGAGAGGUAAAAGGCUUGCUGCCUAGAGAUGAGCUCGCGUCUGAUUAGCUAGUUGGUGUGGUAAGAGCGCACCAAGGCGACGAUCAGUAGCUGGUCUGAGAGGAUGAUCAGCCACACUGGGACUGAGACACGGCCCAGACUCCUACGGGAGGCAGCAGUGGGGAAUUUUCCGCAAUGGGCGAAAGCCUGACGGAGCAAUACCGCGUGAGGGAGGAAGGCUCUUGGGUUGUAAACCUCUUUUCUCAAGGAAUAAGUUCUGAAGGUACUUGAGGAAUAAGCAUCGGCUAACUCCGUGCCAGCAGCCGCGGUAAUACGGAGGAUGCAAGCGUUAUCCGGAAUGAUUGGGCGUAAAGGGUCCGCAGGUGGCGAUGUAAGUCUGCUGUUAAAGAGUCUAGCUUAACUAGAUAAAAGCAGUGGAAACUACAAAGCUAGAGUGCGUUCGGGGUAGCAGGAAUUCCUGGUGUAGCGGUGAAAUGCGUAGAGAUCAGGAAGAACACCGGUGGCGAAAGCGUUCUGCUAGACCUGUACUGACACUGAGGGACGAAAGCUAGGGGAGCGAAUGGGAUUAGAUACCCCAGUAGUCCUAGCCGUAAACGAUGGAUACUAGGCGUGGCUUGUAUCGACCCGAGCCGUGCCGGAGCUAACGCGUUAAGUAUCCCGCCUGGGGAGUACGCACGCAAGUGUGAAACUUAAAGGAAUUGACGG